Molecule: ribosomal RNA, 326 nt
Filed under: uncultured eukaryote
Lineage: Eukaryota
Description: partial 18S ribosomal RNA
Rfam family: Eukaryotic small subunit ribosomal RNA
Source: RNAcentral
CCCUUAGAUGUUCUGGGCCGCACGCGCGCUACACUGAUGCAUUCAACGAGCCUAUCCUUGACCGACAGGUCCGGGUAAUCUUUGAAUCUGCAUCGUGACGGGGAUAGAUUAUUGCAAUUAUUAAUCUUCAACGAGGAAUGCCUAGUAGGCGCAAGUCAUCAGCUUGCGUCGAUUACGUCCCUGCCCUUUGUACACACCGCCCGUCGCUCCUACCGAUUGGGUGUGCUGGUGAGGAGUUUGGAUUGGCCUCGGAAGGUGGUUCGCCACCGUCCGUAGCUGAGAAGUUCUCCAAACCGCCCCACUUAGAGGAAGGAGAAGUCGUAACA